CCCUAGUUAGCUCAAUUGGUAGAGCGCUCCACCUGUAAUGGAGAGGUCCCGGGUUCGAUACCCGGACCAGGCG
Non-coding RNA from Ixodes scapularis (black-legged tick), 73 nucleotides. Lineage: Eukaryota; Metazoa; Arthropoda; Arachnida; Ixodida; Ixodidae. The record is from Rfam.